Molecule: long non-coding RNA, 828 nt
Organism: Oncorhynchus keta (chum salmon)
Lineage: Eukaryota; Metazoa; Chordata; Actinopteri; Salmoniformes; Salmonidae
Exons: 3
Source: RefSeq, a predicted model, not a curated record
UUCAACCAGAGAGAGUAGUUGAGCACGACAAACAACAACCAGUAUGCGUCCUUGAAAUGCACCCUUAGGGGAGGACAUGCAGGAAAUGUAUAAAAGCACACCGUGUCAUGUUCAGAGGCCUUGCUGGUUUGAGGUCAAGGCAGUUUAUUGGCAGUGUCUCAUAAGCUGACUGUCUUCAGGUAGUAAUUUGUGUUUCUAUUUAUGUAAAUGCAGUGGUUAACUGUUCUCUCAUACCAUCAGAACUACGGUGUUUUUUUUUCAGUUUUUCUGGUCCUCUUGUGAACUUGGUCAGCAAUCUCUGAAAGCACUGAAUUUCUGAAAGCACUGAAUUUCUGAAAGCUAUCUAGCAGAGGUAACAGAUCUAAGAAGUAAUUUGUGUACCCUUGAUAAUGUCUUUGCCAAACAAACCUAAUCCUGUAAGCUUUAAUUAACUUUGCUUUUAUUUUAUCUGCCUCUGUACUGUUCUUCAAUGGGCCUAAACUGUCUAAUGUUUAAAUGUAAAGGUUUUUUUUUUUGCCAAGGUGUUGUCUGGUCCAUAGCAUUGCUCAGAACUGUUGAACCAACUCAAUAGGAGGCCGGUCACCAACCUGUGUUCUCUUCAUUAAACAGUGGGAUGGUAGUUAUUUUACCUUAUCAUUUAUCAGAUGCUCAAAUCCAGGGACUUACAGUAGUGCAUUAAGAGGGCUAGGAGGACAACCAUCUCAAUCAUAGUAAGUACAAUUUUCCUCAAGUAGUAAUCAGCCAAGUCUGCUAUGGAGAGGGGAGGGGUGGAGAGUAUUUAUUCACGAUGACCCUACUAGUUGGCAGGCGUUGCUACAGUAUACUAUG